GACGAACGCUGGCGGCGUGCUUAACACAUGCAAGUCGAACGGAAAGGCCCUGCUUUUGUGGGGUGCUCGAGUGGCGAACGGGUGAGUAACACGUGAGUAACCUGCCCUUGACUUUGGGAUAACUUCAGGAAACUGGGGCUAAUACCGGAUAGGAGCUCCUGCUGCAUGGUGGGGGUUGGAAAGUUUCGGCGGUUGGGGAUGGACUCGCGGCUUAUCAGCUUGUUGGUGGGGUAGUGGCUUACCAAGGCGUUGACGGGUAGCCGGCCUGAAAGGGUGACCGGCCACAUUGGGACUGAGAUACGGCCCAGACUCCUACGGGAGGCAGCAGUGGGGAAUAUUGCACAAUGGGCGGAAGCCUGAUGCAGCAACGCCGCGUGCGGGAUGACGGCCUUCGGGUUGUAAACCGCUUUCGCCUGUGACGAAGCGUGAGUGACGGUAAUGGGUAAAGAAGCACCGGCUAACUACGUG
Molecule: ribosomal RNA, 468 nt
Filed under: uncultured bacterium
Lineage: Bacteria
Description: partial 16S ribosomal RNA
Rfam family: Bacterial small subunit ribosomal RNA
Source: RNAcentral